GCCAGCAUGAAGCCGGAAUUGCUAGUAAUGGCAGGUCAGCAUACUGCCGUGAAUACGUUCCCGGGCCUUGUACACACCGCCCGUCACACCAUGAGAGUUGGGGAUACCCGAAGCCUGUGAGCCAACAGUUAAAUGAGGCAGCAGUCGAAGGUAGAAUCAAUGAUUGGGGUGAAGUCGUAACAAGGUAGC
RNAcentral lists this ribosomal RNA (189 nucleotides) under uncultured bacterium. RNAcentral's name for it is "partial 16S ribosomal RNA". It matches the Rfam family "Bacterial small subunit ribosomal RNA", at positions 1314 to 1500 of the family's 1533-position model. The record is from RNAcentral.